GCGGAAGUAGCUCAGUUGGUAGAGCGCAACCUUGCCAAGGUUGAGGUCGCGGGUUCGAGCCUCGUCUUCCGCUCAA
Molecule: transfer RNA, 76 nt
Filed under: Niastella yeongjuensis
Lineage: Bacteria; Pseudomonadati; Bacteroidota; Chitinophagia; Chitinophagales; Chitinophagaceae
Also listed under: 3 other names
Description: tRNA_Gly_GCC
Rfam family: tRNA
About the family: Transfer RNA (tRNA) molecules are approximately 80 nucleotides in length. Their secondary structure includes four short double-helical elements and three loops (D, anti-codon, and T loops).
Source: RNAcentral